This 1419-nucleotide long non-coding RNA is filed under the name Triticum aestivum (bread wheat). RNAcentral's name for it is "long non-coding RNA (TAES_LNC016504)". The record is from RNAcentral. Lineage: Eukaryota; Viridiplantae; Streptophyta; Magnoliopsida; Poales; Poaceae.
UGCUUGAUGAAUUUGGUCUGAUGGUGACAUGACAACUAAGUGAGCUGAAUAUAUUUCUUUGUUUGCCACUGAUCUUAUAACAACUAAGUGAGCUGAACAUAUAAUUGAUCUUCUAAUCUUGACAAACUGAAUAUAACAACUGAAUUUCUUUCUUUGUCAGUGUAUCGUUUCUGUUUAAAAGGCUUUGGUUAUUUGACAAACUUAACUGCACGCCCCUACUGUUUUAUUAAAUGUCAUCUAUGAUCUUCCGGAGAGGCGAGGCGACUCAUUUCAUCGGAGGUCUAAGCAGCUACGUAGUCAGGCCCCUGGCAUACAACAAUACCCUGUUCUGAUCCUUUCAUCAGAGACGGUGAUCCAGGAAUUAUUAUACCUUGUUUUGCUAUGUCUACGGUUGAGUAUGGUGGCCUCAUCCUUGUCAUAUGUCCAGCUUAAGCCCUGUAUUCAUCCUUGCUUGUUCUUGCAGUAGAUGAAAUUGGCUCUCAUAGCAUUAAUUACAUGCCAUUUCUGUGCUUAGGGAACUGCUGGUGAAUCUUUUGCUACCUAUAAUCAUAUUUCAUUUAUCACCUCUUUUGUCUUCAGGUUGAGACUGUUCCCUGUAACUUCAAGUCUUUUUUCCAAGCUUGAGCCUUCUCAUUUUCGAAUCUGUGCAUACAUAUAUAUGGACCCUGGACUGGCGAAGCGUAUGCAUUCCUGAUUCCAUUGUUGGCAGAAAAGUUAUAUCUGACAUCUAGUCUAUAUGGCUCUAGUUUAGUUGGUUCUAGUUUAAUUUAUGGGAACAUUGGUUCUCAUUUAUGGCAACAUUGGUUCUCUACUCUCUGAUUAUAUGUGUCGUCUAGUCUAGUCUGCUAGUACUAUCUUCCAUGCUCAGAUUAUAUAAUACAAUAUGAAAAUUUGUUAAACAUCUAAGCAAUGAAAUUCUGUUUGUAGUUUCUCAUUAUUUAAGCAAGGAAAUUAUGGAGCUAGCUUUCUUAUGUAUCCAUCUGUUCAUUGUUUUUCCGCAUCUAACCCUUGGACCAAUUCAUCUGUUUAUUAUAGGGACCUAAUCUCGCGGAAGACGGGCGACCAUGCUUUGCUGCCACAAGUCUCCUCCACUUUGUGCAGCCCGCAAACAUGUCUUGGAGCAUUCGCCGAUCAAACGUGUGUUUAUGUUGUGAUGAGCCGUUAACUUUUGUUGACCGAAUAUCUUGUAUUUUUCAUUUGGACCGUGGUAUGUGGCAUGUGUAUGUUUUUCAUUUGGACCGUGGAAUGUAUGCAUGUACCAUUUUCAUUAGAACCAUUGAUAAUAGUACUUGUAAGUUGUAACAGAGCAUGUUUGUUGUUUUGUGUAAUCUAGGUGCACUUUUCCUCCGUGAGCUUUUGAAGUUGUAAAAAUUGCAUUUUUAAUUAUAAUAUAGUGGUUUUGCAAACCUUGUGUAUCAA